UUAUUGCGGGAGCGAUAGCAGUGGCAUCCUUUUUACGACUUAUUAAAAUGGCUUAAAAUAGCUGUUGUUUUGUUUAUGCUCUAGCUAAUUUGAUUAGCUUAAUUUUUCCUCGUAAAAAGAUAUAACGGAUAGCGCGGUUUUUA
Molecule: small RNA, 143 nt
Organism: Algibacter lectus
Lineage: Bacteria; Pseudomonadati; Bacteroidota; Flavobacteriia; Flavobacteriales; Flavobacteriaceae
Rfam family: Flavo-1 RNA
Source: Rfam